UAUUAUUCUUAAAUAUAUUUAUUCCUAGGUUAGUAAUAGAUAUUUACUUAAAAGCUAAAAAAUUUGGCGGUAAUUUAAUCUUUUCAGAGGAACUUGUUUUUUAAUCGAUAAUCCCCGUAAUAUCUUACUUGUUCUAAUAAAGUUUGUAUACCAUCAUUAUCAGGUAAUUUUAAAAAAAAGAAUUUCUAAAUUUAAAAGUAAUAUAAAAAUUAGAUCAUGGUGCAGCUGAUGAAUAAGUCAAAAUGAGUUACAAUAAAAUAUUUUAUACGGAUAGUAAAGGAAGAAUUGCUAUGAAGGAGGAUUUGGUAGUAUUAAGAAUUUAAUAUGUUCUUAAGAUGAUAGCUCUAAAUUAUGUACAUAU
Molecule: ribosomal RNA, 361 nt
Filed under: Austinixa aidae
Lineage: Eukaryota; Metazoa; Arthropoda; Malacostraca; Decapoda; Pinnotheridae
Description: partial 12S ribosomal RNA
Source: RNAcentral